GACGAACGCUGGCGGCGUGCUUAACACAUGCAAGUCGAACGGAAAGGCCCUGCUUUUGUGGGGUGCUCGAGUGGCGAACGGGAGAGUAACACGUGAGUAACCUGCCCUUGACUUUGGGAUAACUUCAGGAAACUGGGGCUAAUACCGGAUAGGAGCUCCUGCUGCUUGGGGGGGGUUGGAAAGUUUCGGCGGUUGGGGAUGGACUCGCGGCUUAUCAGCUUGUUUGUGGGGUAGUGGCUUACCAAGGCUUUGACGGGUAGCCGGCCUGAGAGGGUGACCGGCCACAUUGGGACUGAGAUACGGCCCAGACUCCUACGGGAGGCAGCAGUGGGGAAUAUUGCACAAUGGGCGGAAGCCUGAUGCAGCAACGCCGCGUGCGGGAUGACGGCCUUCGGGUUGUAAACCGCUUUCGCCUGUGACGAAGCGUGAGUGACGGUAAUGGGUAAAGAAGCACCGGCUAACUACGUGCCAGCCGCCGCCGUAA
Molecule: ribosomal RNA, 484 nt
Filed under: uncultured bacterium
Lineage: Bacteria
Description: partial 16S ribosomal RNA
Rfam family: Bacterial small subunit ribosomal RNA
Source: RNAcentral